RNAcentral lists this ribosomal RNA (253 nucleotides) under uncultured bacterium. RNAcentral's name for it is "partial 16S ribosomal RNA". It matches the Rfam family "Bacterial small subunit ribosomal RNA", at positions 524 to 776 of the family's 1533-position model. The record is from RNAcentral.
UACAGAGGGUGCAAGCAUUGUUCGGAAUUAUUGGGCGUAAAGGGCGUGUAGGUGGUUCGGUAAGUCAGAUGUGAAAUCCCUGGGCUUAACUCAGGAACUGCAUUUGAUACUGCCAGACUAGAGUGUGGUAUAGGGUCGUGGAAUUCCCGGUGUAGAGGUGAAAUUCGUAGAGAUCGGGAGGAACACCAGUGGCGAAAGCGGCGACCUGGGCCAUUACUGACGCUAAGACGCGAAAGCGUGGGGAGCAAACAGG